Long non-coding RNA from Sapajus apella (tufted capuchin), 2016 nucleotides. RefSeq lists it as uncharacterized. NCBI's taxonomy places the organism in Eukaryota, Metazoa, Chordata, Mammalia, Primates, Cebidae. The record is from RefSeq and is a predicted model, not a curated record. The transcript is spliced from 2 exons.
AAUAUACAUUUUUUCUUCUAUUCUUCUUUUUACCUGAUUGCUACUGUCACAUUAUCAGAAAGGAUACACAGAUUAUUCUGAUAAUGUUUUUCUUCUUUAAAAGUUUUUAACAUCUAUACUACUUUCCACCUCAAAGUAAUUGUCUCAACUGUGGCCAUUCAUGGUAUACAAAUCACAUGUCUAUUGAUUCAUUUUCAUUGCAAUGUUCCAAAAAUUAUUUGAUAUAAUUGGAGCUGAUAUGUGAAAUUGAUAUGAUUCAAAAUGCUCUGGAAAAGUAGAAAAGAGAAACUAAAACAGAAGUAGCAAUCAAAGCCUAGGUCUUAGCCCUAAAAUAUCUGAAAGUCCCUGCAGUGAAGGACGUCUAAACAAUACAGCAUAAUACAAUGAAACACACAUACACACAGAGAAUUAGGAAGGAUUAGGGGAGACUCUGACACUACUUCCCAGAAUGCUUCUUUGGCUCAACUUAAUCUCCUGCAGAAUUAAAUCUAUACAAAUGCAGGUUGGUCUAUUUGCAGGGAAUGUUUCUUGUCUGUAGAACCUAUAGCUAUAGGGUCAUAAACCUACUCAUGAAUGCUUCUGGAGCCUUUCACCUCAGGACACACGAAUCCCUGACAUGUCCCACCCUCAGGGAUAUAGCAGUCCUCAUCUUGACACUAUCCACGAAGAAUCACUUUGCAUUCUAAUAUCUAUCUUAGACAUGUAUCAUCUGAAGUCCCCAAAGAGCUACAGGCCUUCAUUUUGAGACUGGAAUACAUUACAGUACAGUCUCUCUCUCACCGCCACGAACAAUCUGUUUGUUUUACAUUCAGUCCAUACAACGUUACCUUCAGUACAGCAGAUUCACAGACAUGGAAACCUAGGUUUAGAAUAUCACCAUGAUUGGGAUCUUUUGUGGUGAGUGUUGCUGCUCUAUGACAUUAGAUGUUCCAUUCUACAACACCCUCUUCUUAUCUGUGACAACUAGCAGUAUAUAUAAAAGACCAUUAUGGCAUGAAAGAAUGGGCAUAUAUUCAAGAAGUUGACAGGCAUUGCCAUCUUCUGCUUCUACGAUCCAGAGAAGAUUGCAAUCAAAUCAGUAUCUUUGCCCCCACAACCCAAAACAGCUUUCCUGCAGCUUCUUCUUGAGGGAGUGAAAGCUGCUUAGAGCAGCGUGUAAAUUCAUGGCAAGAAGCAAUAAAGAUCGGCCCUUCCAAAUCUCAGCCAUUCAAGCAAUUGCAUCAGGGCCCUCUCUGCAGCAAAACUGCUGCAUUUCCAACACAGUUUUCUAAGCCUACAGAGCCUGAGCCUGGCGAACCAAAUCAGCACCCCGUUUCUCCUAAAGCUCGGAAACAGGUAAGACUGUUUUAACCAACAAGUUUAGUUCAGGGGAGAGUUUUACUUUCUCAAUAUACAAUAUAAAAAAGAAAGGAGAGAACAAGACAAAUGGCAAUUAGUCAUUGACAAUGGAAGACAUGAUGCCUAUGAUGGCUUAGUACAGGGAUAAGAUCGUUUUGUCCUGGAGGUGUCAUUCCUAUCUAUCAAAAAAGUCAGAGAGAUGAGUUGUUUCACAACAAAUUGACGUUGGGAGGAAACUCAGCUACAAGUUGGCAUUCGUUUCUGCUAUCCAUGGGUUAACAAAAUUCCAAAGUUAAAAUUUCACUUACAUUCUAUAAUAUACCAUUCCAGCUAAAUUUUCAUCUCUUCUCUUUCUCCUGCCUUUCUAAAAGAGUAGCUUAGCAUUUCAUUUCAGACUUGCAAAAGCCCUGAGAUUCUUUCCUAUCUUUUCCUUCCCAGAGCUCUUUGUAAGUAAAUCAAACCUGCCUUCCCUAUACCAUACCCUGCAUUUAGCAGGCAAACUCUCUCUCAGAGUGUACAAGGCGUGUAGGCUUAACAGACUGGUUUAUCCUUGUGUGUGCAGAAAGGCACUUAUGAAGCAUACUGUUUGAUGAUGACAUCCAAGAUCGAGUUUCAACAAUUUUUCAUGGUCUGUAAAAUGCUGCAGUGCUAAUAAAAUUCUAACCUAGUUUAGAUUAC